Molecule: transfer RNA, 74 nt
Filed under: Streptomyces lateritius
Lineage: Bacteria; Bacillati; Actinomycetota; Actinomycetes; Kitasatosporales; Streptomycetaceae
Description: tRNA-Val
Source: RNAcentral
CCGGGCCCUGGUGCGGCUCUCGCGCGACGGCGCCGACGCCGUCGUGGUCCGCGAGUUCGACCUCGUGACCCGGA